This 236-nucleotide long non-coding RNA is filed under the name Solanum tuberosum (potato). RNAcentral describes it as "long non-coding RNA (STUB_LNC006240)". The record is from RNAcentral. Lineage: Eukaryota; Viridiplantae; Streptophyta; Magnoliopsida; Solanales; Solanaceae.
CAGCUUGGGUAAUCUUGGAAAAGGAUAUAUAAUGUAUGUAUUGGGAAGAGAAGGAGGGUGUGAUGAUACAUGUUAUUUUAAGGGUUGUAUGGGCUCAUUAUCAGUCAAAGUUAGCUACUGUUUUACGAGGCUCAUAGUGUGAUAUCUGCUAAUUUUAGUUUGUCAUGACUCAUAUUGUAGAUUAAAAUCUAAAAGGGGAGGCUGAAUCGUGAUAGUUGUAUUGGUUUGAGGAUAAG